GAUGAACGCUGGCGGCGUGCCUAAUACAUGCAAGUCGAGCGAACGGACGAGAAGCUUGCUUUUCUGAUGUUAGCGGCGGACGGGUGAGUAACACGUGGAUAACCUACCUAUAAGACUGGGAUAACUUCGGGAAACCGGAGCUAAUACCGGAUAAUAUUUUGAACCGCAUGGUUCAAAAGUGAAAGACGGUCUUGCUGUCACUUAUAGAUGGAUCCGCGCUGCAUUAGCUAGUUGGUAAGGUAACGGCUUACCAAGGCAACGAUGCAUAGCCGACCUGAGAGGGUGAUCGGCCACACUGGAACUGAGACACGGUCCAGACUCCUACGGGAGGCAGCAGUAGGGAAUCUUCCGCAAUGGGCGCAAGCCUGACGGAGCAAAGCCGCGUGAGUGAUGAAGGUCCUCGGAUCGUAAAACUCUGUUAUUAGGGAAGAACAUAUGUGUAAGUAACUGCGCACAUCUUGACGGUACCUAAUCAGAAAGCCACGGCUAACUACGUG
Molecule: ribosomal RNA, 497 nt
Filed under: uncultured bacterium
Lineage: Bacteria
Description: partial 16S ribosomal RNA
Rfam family: Bacterial small subunit ribosomal RNA
Source: RNAcentral